AUUGAACGCUGGCGGCAGGCCUAACACAUGCAAGUCGAACGGUAACAGGAAACAGCUUGCUGUUUCGCUGACGAGUGGCGGACGGGUGAGUAAUGUCUGGGAAACUGCCUGAUGGAGAGGGAUAACUACUGGAAACGGUAGCUAAUACCGCAUAACGUCGCAAGACCAAAGAGGGGGACCUUCCGGCCUCUUGCCAUCGGAUUUGCCCAGAUGGGAUUAGCUAGUAGGUGGGGUAACGGCUCACCUAGGCGACGAUCCCUAGCUGGUCUGAGAGGAUGACCAGCCACACUGGAACUGAGACACGGUCCAGACUCCUACGGGAGGCAGCAGUGGGGAAUAUUGCACAAUGGGCGCAAGCCUGAUGCAGCCAUGCCGCGUGUAUGAAGAAGGCCUUCGGGUUGUAAAGUACUUUCAGCGGGGAGGAAGGGAGUAAAGUUAAUACCUUUGCUCAUUGACGUUACCCGCAGAAGAAGCACCGGCUAACUCCGUGCCAGCCGCCGCAGUAA
Molecule: ribosomal RNA, 506 nt
Filed under: uncultured bacterium
Lineage: Bacteria
Description: partial 16S ribosomal RNA
Rfam family: Bacterial small subunit ribosomal RNA
Source: RNAcentral